UUGACUUUAGUUCCCGCCGGCGACCGGCGCACGGGUGAGUAACACGUAUCCAACCUGCCUCAUACUCGGGGAUAGCCUUUCGAAAGAAAGAUUAAUACCCGAUGUUAUAGUCCUACCGCAUGAUGGGAUUAUUAAAGAAUUUCGGUAUGGGAUGGGGAUGCGUUCCAUUAGUUAGUUGGCGGGGUAACGGCCCACCAAGACAACGAUGGAUAGGGGUUCUGAGAGGAAGGUCCCCCACAUUGGAACUGAGACACGGUCCAAACUCCUACGGAAGGCAGCAG
RNAcentral lists this ribosomal RNA (281 nucleotides) under uncultured bacterium. Its description in RNAcentral is "partial 16S ribosomal RNA". It matches the Rfam family "Bacterial small subunit ribosomal RNA", at positions 74 to 354 of the family's 1533-position model. The record is from RNAcentral.